AUUCCAUGAUGAGGGCACUUUCGUAAUAAUUCUUUAUACCUUUCCCAUACCUCAUACAAGGACUUAUUAUCCAUUUGUUGGAAAGCAGUGAUCUCGUUCCUCAACU
Molecule: non-coding RNA, 106 nt
Organism: Gossypium arboreum
Lineage: Eukaryota; Viridiplantae; Streptophyta; Magnoliopsida; Malvales; Malvaceae
Source: Rfam